Molecule: ribosomal RNA, 552 nt
Filed under: Mycosphaerella angustifoliorum
Lineage: Eukaryota; Fungi; Ascomycota; Dothideomycetes; Mycosphaerellales; Mycosphaerellaceae
Description: eukaryotic LSU rRNA
Rfam family: 5.8S ribosomal RNA (bases 205-358)
Source: RNAcentral
UAGAGGAAGUAAAAGUCGUAACAAGGUCUCCGUAGGUGAACCUGCGGAGGGAUCAUUACUGAGUGAGGGCCUCCGGGCUCGACCUCCAACCCUCUGUGAACACAACUCGUUGCUUCGGGGGCGACCCUGCCGUUUGCGCGGCGGGCGCCCCCGGAGGCCUUCUAACACUGCAUCUCGGCGUCGGAGUUUAAGUAAAUUAAACAAAACUUUCAACAACGGAUCUCUUGGUUCUGGCAUCGAUGAAGAACGCAGCGAAAUGCGAUAAGUAAUGUGAAUUGCAGAAUUCAGUGAAUCAUCGAAUCUUUGAACGCACAUUGCGCCCUCUGGUAUUCCGGAGGGCAUGCCUGUUCGAGCGUCAUUUCACCACUCAAGCCUGGCUUGGUAUUGGGCGCCGCGGAGUUCCGCGCGCCUCAAAGUCUCCGGCUGAGCUGUCCGUCUCCCAGCGUUGUGAUUGUCAUUCGUCGCUGCGGAGGGUGGGCGGCCACGGCCGUUAAAUCUUUCACCAGGUUGACCUCGGAUCAGGUAGGGAUACCCGCUGAACUUAAGCAUAUC